CCGAGCAAAAACAAUAGGGCUUCGCACCUUUCGGUGCAGGCCAUUCUGGCCUGCUCCUCGGUGCUCGAGCCCUAAUAACUCCUUGAAGAACAAUAGGGUCCUCACACCCCGGUGUGCUCGGGCCCUAAUAAUUAAAUUAGAUUAACACAAGUAAUUUAUAAAUAACAUAAAAUAAAAUAAAGAAAUUAUAAAAAUAAUGAAAGAGUAGCCAGAAUUGCCAGCUCUGUCUUUUUAAAUGCAGAAACAAAGCCUAGAAACCUCUUAUGGCCAUGUAGCCCUGUCACGGGGGUUAUUGGAUUUAUUAACGCAUUUUUUUAUAUUUAUUGAAAGCUAGGCUACUUCUUCACAUAUUAUGAUAAUGCUAUGCAAAUAAUAUGCUGUAGCCUAUAUUAAUAUAUUUGAAGAAAGCUGCUAUAUGUGAAAUCAGAUAAUGUGUCCCCCAUAUGGCCAAAAUUGAAUGAUCCUCAUUUCAUAGCACGUCUGUGAUGAUUUGACUAUUUGGGGUCACCUCAUGGUUUUCUGUAAUUUAUAUCCUCACCCGAACCCUCCAUAGUCUCAUUACUGUGACAGAUAUGGUAAAUUAAUAUGUUUUUAAACGAACGUGUAGCCUAAAGUUUAUUGUGUCUGUCACACAUGCAGACCAGUAAAUUAUCACAUCUGCAGAACUUUUUAACGCGUUUACAUGUUAAAAAUGUAGAUAAUAUUUCAUUGUCAGUGGUUUCACGCAUCCACUCUCAUAUUCAUCAGAAUUGCUUGACCUACCGACAGCGGACAAUCCGCGUAUCUUUAGCUCAGAAUUCUACACACAAACGUAGUCUACAUGUUUCACGUCCCCCACAUGCCAAUUACUUACAUUAAUUAAUAGGUACCAUAUUUUCUUAAUAUUAAGAAAAGGUUAAUGUUAAAAGGCACAGCUCCUGAGUCUUUAUCUUCUACACUUAAACAGAAGGAAUCGGACAGGGUUUGAAAACAUGGAAUCUUUAUUUUUUUUUUUUGCAUUUUUAUGGAUAUUUUUUAUCAUCAAUAUGAUAGAAAACAGAAUAACAAUGCUAAGGGUUUAAUUGGUAUCGUUGAGAACUUAAAGUUUUCUGUGUGUGACGUUUUGACAUGUAUAGCAGUGUUUCGAGCAAAGAACUCACUGUAAAGACAAGAAUUAUGGUUGGGAGUUAAUACUUCUUUUAAAGUAUUGUUAGGAACGAGUCAAGACAAUCAAGAGUACAUUCAUUAGUAAUGAAAUACCUGUAAAACACAAGAACAAGAGAUAGAAUCAAUUUUUUUGUAUUUCUUUUUUCCAAAUCUGUUCACUCCACACGCACAGAUCGGUAGGUGGCGGUAAUCACUUGUUUGUUGGUGUGCCAAACCGCCAUAAAACACCAGAAGAAGAACUCACCGUAACUCCAGAGUAGCAGUCAGAUCGCGGAUUCAUAUGCAGUUAUUCAUAUGUAGCGUUCAUGUGGAAGUGAAAGUCCGUGACAAAAUACUACCUCAAGUACACCACUAUGUGAAAAUGGUCACUCUUGUGCAAUACAUGACCAAAUCUGAUGACUCCCAACUCCCCGACCAAAAUACUGCAGCAGUCGAUAACAUAUCCACAAGAGUUAAAUGGGGCACUUUCUAUAUGAGAGUUCAACCUUUCUGUCUUGAGAUAUUCACACCUUUCAGAUUCCCAACUUUAUGAUAUUGUUCAGAAUUUGGUUGGAGAAAAUUAGGAGAUUGGGGAAAAUGCUGUUCGGUCCAGGCUUGCAGCUAUAAAUAUUCGAGUGCCACGAAGGAGACUUGGACUGUAUGAACCCAAGGACACUGAGACUGACAGACCCAGUUCCUGCUGCCAUGAAGCUCAUCACACCAUGAUCUACUGGCCUCCCAUCAUCGUGAUGCCCUGCCAAUGUCUGACCAGCGAACACCCGCUGCUUCCCUUUAUUUCUAAAUUUUUUAAUUCUUAUUAAAUCGUAUAGUAUAGUUUUUUAUUGGAUCGCGUAAUUCUGCUUAGUGACAACCAACCACUUACUUUAACUUUUAAUUUAAAUGAUUUAAACCUUUAACAAUAAUUCCAAUACAUUUUAAGAAUAUAGAAGGCCUAUUCAAUAUGUAGUAUAUAUUUUCUAGGAUCAGCUAGGUCUGGGUCUCUCUCAAGGGUUUUCUUUCUCCCAAUUACUUUUUCCCCUAUAAGAGUUGUUUUCCUAGGAGUUUUUUAAACCCCUUGGGGUCGGCUGACAUUAGCUUAACUUAAGAGUUACAUUACAUUAUUACUCCGCUCACUAGUACGGUUUAAUCUGAGCCGCUGUACUUUGUUGUCCUAUAAUUUUUCUCGUUUUUAUUAAACAAGUAACCCAACUGGAUCUGCACGUAGAGCGUUGGCCCAAAGACUGCACCGAAGAACCUACCCUACCAUGUUGCAGGUCCCAACUCAUUGUGGCACAGUGAUGGAAACUACUUAAUCUUAACAUGUUUACAAAUUUGAAUGUUUUCUUAAGUCCCUGUAAAGUCAAUUUUAAAAAAUUGUUUCUGAGCACAUUAUAAAUGUUUAAAUUUUUUUUUGCAGAAAUACACAACAAAGACUAUAAACUACGUAGUUCUGAAUUGCAGAGUAAAGAUUGUGUAUUUCUGAGUUCAGGAUAUUUUAGAUGGUCCUGAAAUGGUUACUCGAUAAUGCACUUGAGCCACCCAGCGUGGCCCCGCCCCUAACACAAUUGUGACCAUCCAUUCAGGUUGAAGUGGUAUUUGAAAGUUGAGAAACAGUAAGUGGGUGUUGUUUCAGCUUUGACGGCGUACAUACCACCACCGUUUGAGAGCACAAAAUACUGCCUAUUUUUCCAAGAUUUUGAUAACUUAGUUUAAUUACUGGUGUUUUGCAUGCAAAUUUGGUUGGUUGGUUAAUAACACAUUUUUCCAAAUACAUACUUUCAGAUAUAUCAGUGCAAGUUAUUUUCAGUUAAGACAGCUGAAACAUUCAUUUUAGUUUUGCCUUAAGCCUUAUCUGUGAAAACGGGCAUUGGUGUUCUACAUGCUAAUGUUUGAUUGUUUGGUUUUUAAAUCUUAUGUCACACCCUUCUUGAUGUUCUAAAUGUGAAUAUAUGUAUGCUUAUGUGUGCUGCAGUGCAUCAUUUUAAAUACAAACUAACUAAACUAAGUUCAGAUGACAAUAAAGAAA
Long non-coding RNA from Paramisgurnus dabryanus, 3151 nucleotides. RefSeq lists it as uncharacterized. NCBI's taxonomy places the organism in Eukaryota, Metazoa, Chordata, Actinopteri, Cypriniformes, Cobitidae. The record is from RefSeq and is a predicted model, not a curated record.